This 19-nucleotide small RNA is filed under the name Arabidopsis thaliana (thale cress). RNAcentral describes it as "ATSL285460". Lineage: Eukaryota; Viridiplantae; Streptophyta; Magnoliopsida; Brassicales; Brassicaceae. The record is from RNAcentral.
UGAACCAUUAAAGAAAAAC